Molecule: small nuclear RNA, 164 nt
Filed under: Octodon degus (degu)
Lineage: Eukaryota; Metazoa; Chordata; Mammalia; Rodentia; Octodontidae
Description: U1 spliceosomal RNA (ENSODEG00000022076.1)
Rfam family: U1 spliceosomal RNA
About the family: U1 is a small nuclear RNA (snRNA) component of the spliceosome (involved in pre-mRNA splicing). Its 5' end forms complementary base pairs with the 5' splice junction, thus defining the 5' donor site of an intron.
Source: Rfam by way of RNAcentral
AUACUUACCUGGCAGGGGAGACACCAUGAUCACGAAGGUGGUUUUCCCAGGGCAAGUCUUAUCCAUCGCACUCGGGAUGUGCUGACCCCUGUGAUUUCCCCAAAUGAGGGAAACUCGACUGCAUAGUUUGUGGUAGUGGGGGACUGAGUUCGCGCUUUCCCUUG